Molecule: long non-coding RNA, 680 nt
Filed under: Phoenix dactylifera (date palm)
Lineage: Eukaryota; Viridiplantae; Streptophyta; Magnoliopsida; Arecales; Arecaceae
Description: long non-coding RNA (PDAC_LNC019535)
Source: RNAcentral
AAAACAACACCAAACUGUGCUAGUUUCACACAAGUUUGGUUCGACACGGGGUGAACCGGACAGUUUGGCCCAAGUUUGGCAGACCAUAGGCAAUAGUAUUAUAAAACAUCAUGACCACCUCAAGUCAUACCACCCUAAUUAGCAGUAGAAUGUCUUUUUCAUAUUUUCUUCUAUUGUGGUGAUUAAUCAGAUAUUUUCAAUUAUUUAUUUCUUUUAACUUUCUUGAUAGCUUCAUUGUUCCUUUCAUCGAGAAGUGGUCCAUUUUGAAUACUAGUAUAGGUCCAUGGAAAAAUAGUGAAGAAUGAACCCUCUAAUAUUUGGUAGAAGGUCUCUAAGAGGCAAACUCACAUAACUUAUUUUAUCAACAACAAAUGUGUUACCAAAAUGAGUAUCUUUCACAAUCUCCACCUUUCCUUUCAAACAGAAAGCUUCUUUAUAAAAUAUCAUAAAAUUAUUACAUUAUGAAUUCCAUAACCCAAGUCAUUCCUGGUUUUUUUCCUUCCUUUAAUGAAACAGGCUCCAUUUGUUUUUCAUUUCACUCAUCAUUUACUCACAUUUGUUGGAAAUAAAGUCUGUCGUGCCGGUACCGAAGCUUGUACCAAUCGGCCAGCGGCACAGUUCGGUACGCCCCUGUCAUUCUAUGCUGGGCUCAUACGAACACACCAAGGAGGGCGAGAGAA